RNAcentral lists this ribosomal RNA (484 nucleotides) under uncultured bacterium. RNAcentral's name for it is "partial 16S ribosomal RNA". It matches the Rfam family "Bacterial small subunit ribosomal RNA", at positions 30 to 507 of the family's 1533-position model. The record is from RNAcentral.
AUUGAACGCUGGCGGCAGGCCUAACACAUGCAAGUCGAGCGGAUGAAGGGAGCUUGCUCCUGGAUUCAGCGGCGGACGGGUGAGUAAUGCCUAGGAAUCUGCCUGGUAUUGGGGGAUAACGUCCGGAAACGGGCGCUAAUACCGCAUACGUCCUGAUGGUGAAAGUGGGGGAUCUUCGGACCUCACGCUAUCAGAUGAGCCUAGGUCGGAUUAGCUAGUUGGUGUGGUAAAGGCCUACCAAGGCGACGAUCCGUAACUGGUCUGAGAGGAUGAUCAGUCACACUGGAACUGAGACACGGUCCAGACUCCUACGGGAGGCAGCAGUGGGGAAUAUUGGGCAAUGGGCGAAAGCCUGAUCCAGCCAUGCCGCGUGUGUGAAGAAGGUCUUCGGAUUGUAAAGCACUUUAAGUUGGGAGGAAGGGCAGUAAGUUAAUACCUUGCUGUUUUGACGUUACCAACAGAAUAAGCACCGGCUAACUUCGUG